UGGCACAUAAGCACAUGAAAAGACGUUCAACAACAUUAGUCAUUAGGGCAAUGCAAAUUAAAACCACAAUGAGGUAUCACUACACACCUUUCAGAAUGGCUAAAAUGAAAAACUGUAACAGUACCAAAUGUUGGCAAGGAUGUGGAGAAA
Molecule: long non-coding RNA, 150 nt
Organism: Lutra lutra (Eurasian river otter)
Lineage: Eukaryota; Metazoa; Chordata; Mammalia; Carnivora; Mustelidae
Exons: 3
Source: RefSeq, a predicted model, not a curated record